This 253-nucleotide ribosomal RNA is filed under the name uncultured bacterium. Its description in RNAcentral is "partial 16S ribosomal RNA". It matches the Rfam family "Bacterial small subunit ribosomal RNA", at positions 524 to 776 of the family's 1533-position model. The record is from RNAcentral.
UACGGAGGGGGCUAGCGUUAUUCGGAAUUAUUGGGCGUAAAGGGCGCGUAGGCGGCCCGGUAAGUCAAAGGUGAAAUCCCUCGGCUCAACUGAGGAACUGCCUUUGAAACUGUCGGGCUUGAGGCCGGGAGGGGGUAGCGGAAUUCCCAGUGUAGCGGUGAAAUUCGUAGAUAUUGGGAAGAACACCGAUGGCGAAGGCAGCCAUCUGGACCGACACUGACGCUGAGGCGCGAAAGCGUGGGGAGCAAACAGG